GGGCGCGGGGCUGGGGCGGGGCUGCGCGUGCCAUCUCCUGAAAUCGCCGCGGGCGCGGGCCUCAUUCCUCAGAUGUGCAUUCUCACAUGGACAUCUUAUAAACGUCAUCAUUUCCCCAUUGUGAGCAUCAAAAGCUUCAUCAGAUGCUCUUCAUGCAAAUCGCAGACUCUUCAGUCUCCAGCGCAGAUCCUCUGGCCUCCUGAUACAAACUUGCAUGGACACUACUGUGAGCCCCAGGUCUUCAACUGGAUCCUUCAAAUCUCCAAGGCACAGACAGACAUUUUGCAUCUUCCACACCUGACUCUGGGUGGCCACUGUAAGCUAAUCUUGUAAAUUCUUAUGUAUUUGUAUAUCUUGCAUUAAAUCUGCUUUUCUAGUAAGCACUGACUGAUAUACCACAUAUUAUCCCAUACUUAUAAACCCAACUGCAACCGCUGCUUCCACUUGUCC
RNAcentral lists this long non-coding RNA (450 nucleotides) under Heterocephalus glaber (naked mole-rat). Its description in RNAcentral is "lncRNA (ENSHGLG00000041940.1)". The record is from RNAcentral. Lineage: Eukaryota; Metazoa; Chordata; Mammalia; Rodentia; Bathyergidae.